RNAcentral lists this ribosomal RNA (433 nucleotides) under uncultured bacterium. RNAcentral's name for it is "partial 16S ribosomal RNA". It matches the Rfam family "Bacterial small subunit ribosomal RNA", at positions 29 to 507 of the family's 1533-position model. The record is from RNAcentral.
AACGAACGCUGGCGGCAUGCCUAACACAUGCAAGUCGAACGAUGCUUUCGGGCAUAGUGGCGCACGGUUGCGUAACGCGUGGGAAUCUGCCCUGGUGUUCGGGAUAACAGCGGGAAACUGCUGCUAAUACCGGAUGAUAUCGCGAGAUCAAAGAUUUAUCGCCCUGGGAUGAGCCCGCGUCGGAUUAGGUAGUUGGUGGGGUAAGAGCCUACCAAGCCGACGAUCCGUAGCUGGUCUGAGAGGAUGAUCAGCCACACUGGGACUGAGACACGGCCCAGACUCCUACGGGAGGCAGCAGUGGGGAAUAUUGGACAAUGGGCGCAAGCAUGAACCAGCAAUGACGCGUGAGUGAUGAAGGCCUUAGGGUUGUAAAGCUCUUUUAACCGGGAUGAUAAUGACAGUACCGGGAGAAUAAGCCCCGGCUAACUCCGUG